GCCUCAGUAGCUCAGUUGGUAGAGCGUUACAUUGGUAAUGUAGAGGUCCUGGGUUCAAUCCCCAGCUGAGGCU
This 73-nucleotide transfer RNA is filed under the name Candidatus Pacearchaeota archaeon CG10_big_fil_rev_8_21_14_0_10_34_12. RNAcentral's name for it is "tRNA-Thr". It matches the Rfam family "tRNA". From Rfam's summary of the family: Transfer RNA (tRNA) molecules are approximately 80 nucleotides in length. Their secondary structure includes four short double-helical elements and three loops (D, anti-codon, and T loops). The record is from RNAcentral. Lineage: Archaea; Nanobdellati. RNAcentral also lists the same sequence under 1 other name.